AUAGGUGUAGCUUUGCAGUCAUUUCGUCAGAUCGAAUUCCCUUUGAAUAGGGGCUUGCCAAAGAGGGUGCUAGACCCGUUCGAUCGAUGUUGUGGCUGCAUUCGUUGCUCCUUGGAGUCGGGUUGCUUGAAAGUGCAGCCUAAAGUGGGUGAUAAACUUCAUCUAAGGCUAAAUAUUGAAGGGAAUUCGAUAGCAAACAAGUACCGUGAGGGAAAGUUGCAAAGAACUUUGAAGAGAGAGUUCAAGAGAACGUGAAAUCGUUAAAGUGGAACCGGAGAGAGUUGACGAAGCAUCUGUGGUGAAGACUUUCGUUGUU
RNAcentral lists this ribosomal RNA (316 nucleotides) under Phasmarhabditis sp. VP-2016a. RNAcentral's name for it is "partial 28S ribosomal RNA". It matches the Rfam family "Eukaryotic large subunit ribosomal RNA", at positions 151 to 463 of the family's 3401-position model. Lineage: Eukaryota; Metazoa; Nematoda; Chromadorea; Rhabditida; Rhabditidae. The record is from RNAcentral.